GGGUCCAUCCUAAUCUCUGCUGGCCAGCCUGGUUUCGCUUGUGGACCAGAGCACAAUGGAAGCCUCACCCUAGCCUGUGAGCAAGGCUUCUGUGUGCUCAGGCUAUGGACACAUCUAUGUGACU
Oryctolagus cuniculus (rabbit) is the source of this 124-nucleotide small nucleolar RNA. The record is from Ensembl. NCBI's taxonomy places the organism in Eukaryota, Metazoa, Chordata, Mammalia, Lagomorpha, Leporidae.